GCCUUGGUAGCUCAGUCGGUAGAGCGGUGGACUGAAAAUCCAUAUGUCGGCGGUUCGAUUCCACCCCAAGGCACCA
Molecule: transfer RNA, 76 nt
Filed under: Clostridiales bacterium
Lineage: Bacteria; Bacillati; Bacillota; Clostridia; Eubacteriales
Also listed under: 3 other names
Description: tRNA-Phe
Rfam family: tRNA
About the family: Transfer RNA (tRNA) molecules are approximately 80 nucleotides in length. Their secondary structure includes four short double-helical elements and three loops (D, anti-codon, and T loops).
Source: RNAcentral